AAUCUUGCGCAAUGGGCGAAAGCCUGACGCAGCAACGCCGCGUGAGGGAUGAAGGCCUUCGGGUUGUAAACCUCUUUCAAGCAGGGACGAUAGUGACGGUACCUGCAGAAGAAGCUCCGGCCAACUACGUGCCAGCAGCCGCGGUGAUACGUAGGGAGCGAGCGUUGUCCGGAUUUAUUGGGCGUAAAGAGCUCGUAGGCGGCUCGGUAAGUCAGAUGUGAAAUCCCUAGGCUCAACCUAGGGUCGCCAUCUGAUACUGCUGUGGCUAGAGCCCGGUAGGGGUCCAUGGAAUUCCUGGUGUAGCGGUGAAAUGCGCAGAUAUCAGGAGGAACACCGGUGGCGAAGGCGGUGGACUGGGCCGGUUGCUGACGCUGAGGAGCGAAAGCGUGGGGAGCGA
RNAcentral lists this ribosomal RNA (397 nucleotides) under uncultured Acidimicrobiales bacterium. RNAcentral describes it as "bacterial SSU rRNA". It matches the Rfam family "Bacterial small subunit ribosomal RNA", at positions 360 to 771 of the family's 1533-position model. Lineage: Bacteria; Bacillati; Actinomycetota; Acidimicrobiia; Acidimicrobiales. The record is from RNAcentral.